Molecule: ribosomal RNA, 455 nt
Filed under: uncultured bacterium
Lineage: Bacteria
Description: bacterial SSU rRNA
Rfam family: Bacterial small subunit ribosomal RNA
Source: RNAcentral
GACGAACGCUGGCGGCGCGCCUAACACAUGCAAGUCGAACGAGAGAUGAGGAGCUUGCUCUUCAAAUCGAGUGGCGAACGGGUGAGUAACGCGUGAGGAACCUGCCUCAAAGAGGGGGACAACAGUUGGAAACGACUGCUAAUACCGCAUAAGCCCACGGCUCGGCAUCGAGCAGAGGGAAAAGGAGUGAUCCGCUUUGAGAUGGCCUCGCGUCCGAUUAGCUAGUUGGUGAGGUAACGGCCCACCAAGGCGACGAUCGGUAGCCGGACUGAGAGGUUGAACUGCCACAUUGGGACUGAGACACGGCCCAGACUCCUACGGGAGGCAGCAGUGGGGAAUAUUGCACAAUGGGGGAAACCCUGAUGCAGCGACGCCGCGUGGAGGAAGAAGGUCUUCGGAUUGUAAACUCCUGUUGUUGAGGAAGAUAAUGACGGUACUCAACAAGGAAGUGACGG